AAAUAGCCCUGAUUGAAAGGAAAAACUCCCGAUUUUUAUCGGGAUUUUGGAAUGAAAGCAGGAAUAAGG
This is a small RNA of Flavobacterium aquatile, 69 nucleotides long. It matches the Rfam family "Flavo-1 RNA". Lineage: Bacteria; Pseudomonadati; Bacteroidota; Flavobacteriia; Flavobacteriales; Flavobacteriaceae. The record is from Rfam.